Molecule: small RNA, 28 nt
Filed under: Bombyx mori (domestic silkworm)
Lineage: Eukaryota; Metazoa; Arthropoda; Insecta; Lepidoptera; Bombycidae
Description: ovarian small RNA-37560
Source: RNAcentral
UUCUUAUGCACGAAGACCACGUCGUUUU